CCAGCAGCUGCGGUAAUUCCAGCUCCAAUAGCGUAUAUUAAAGUUGUUGCGGUUAAAAAGCUCGUGGUUGGAUCUCGGCAGGUGGCAGGGGCGGUCUGCUUGCCUGUUUGGCAGAGGGGGUUGGGUGCUCUUCAUCGAGCGUCCAGCAACGCUGCCAACUUUACUUUGAAAAAAUUAGAGUGCUCAAAGCAGGCUUCACACGCUUGAAUCUUCGUGCAUGGAAUAACGGAAAAGGAAGUCACUUCCAAUUUUGUUGGUUUUCGGAAAUCGACUUGAUGAUUGAUAGGGACAAUCGGGGGCAUUAGUAUUCAGACGACAGAGGUGAAAUUCUUGGACCGUCUGAAGACUAACGACUGCGAAAGCAUUUGCCAAGAGUGUUUUCAUUAAUCAAGAACGAAAGU
This 401-nucleotide ribosomal RNA is filed under the name uncultured eukaryote. RNAcentral's name for it is "SSU rRNA". It matches the Rfam family "Eukaryotic small subunit ribosomal RNA", at positions 567 to 990 of the family's 1831-position model. The record is from RNAcentral.